GGGGGACCCAGGCCUGCCGUCCUCUCCCGCGGCGGCUAAGAGAAGGCAGAGGGGUGCAAGCUUCGGACCUGAGAAGUUCUGCAUCUGGGUUAUUGUUCGAUGAUGAUCCAGACCCCACCGGGGGAAGAAAAGGAGCAGGGGCUCUGAAGGAAAGUGCGCGGGAGGCAUUGAGAUGAGCUCCAAGAGACACCCAACCAUCUGGGAUGAGUCAGUCCCCUGGUACGGUCCUGCCUGAAGACGAAUUAAUUGAGCUCAGAAAGAAUAUUUCCCGUUUCUGUCCCCUCUCUUUCUUUUGCAGCUCACUAAAGUCUUCAGCGACGGCACCCUGAUCUAGCCGGAAGAAGUCCACAAAGCCACAAGCGUCCCCGUGCUUCAGACCUAGGAUGCACUGUUCUCCACGUAAUGGGGACAAUCUGCACAGAUGGGUGACAGAUGAAGAGAGGGCCCAACCUCUGGGGACACACAGGUUUAGAACCUGCGUCCACGAUGCCGAAGGAGCUGCAACGCCGGGCGUUGUCUGCCAAGGGACCGAGAGAAAAGAUGAGGAAACCGAGCAUGAGACCCGUUGCUCCCCACUCCCCACGGCCAGCAGCACCACUGUCUUUCUCCCCCAGGUCACAGAGCUGUCACGAGGGCGGUGGCAUUGGGGCGCAAAAACGCACCGCGUGUUCUUCCAGAAGAAAAGAGGCCACUGGGCCUGCCUCUGCUGCCUUCCUGAAGUGGGGCCCUCCCCGGCAGCAGCAGGCCCUUAGCCUCUGUUGAUGAAUUGAGAGCCCAAGAGCUCGUCCAGUUGACUGCAGUAUCUUCCUGCGUCCCCAGAGUGUUGGAGUCAGUGGUUACAGAGACGCAGAGCUCAGCUGGGAAACAUCCCGGAAUAGGAGGCAAAGAACCGCUUUAGACAGGAGUGGGGAACGGCUCCCGGUUGAUAAAAAAAAAAGUCAGAGACAGAGAUGGAGAGAGAAACACACACAGAGAGAGAGCGACCGAGGCAGAGAGAGAGUGAGGGGGGAAAAGAGACAACCAGGAACCCCAGCAGGCCGGGGCUGGCCUGGGCGAGCCCCAGUGAGCCAGCCUCCGGCUGGAGUAGGGCCCACACGGGCCGACUGGUCCCGGGGACUGACCCCGCCGUCCCACGCACACCCAUGCACAUGCCGUCUGCAGUCUCUCCUCGAGUCUUCCCUGCAGCACCGAGGGGUGGGGGCGCCUGGACUCUUCCGUAAGCUCUGCCCAGCCCCUCUCGGCACCAGCCCAAAGUGAGCAUCACUCAGAAGGAGAAGCCUCUGGCUCAGGGUCACCGGCCGGUGGGUGCCUCAUGAAG
This 1318-nucleotide long non-coding RNA is filed under the name Felis catus (domestic cat). Its description in RNAcentral is "lncRNA (ENSFCAG00000043952.2)". Lineage: Eukaryota; Metazoa; Chordata; Mammalia; Carnivora; Felidae. The record is from RNAcentral.